RNAcentral lists this long non-coding RNA (940 nucleotides) under Sinocyclocheilus grahami. Its description in RNAcentral is "lncRNA (ENSSGRG00000034298.1)". Lineage: Eukaryota; Metazoa; Chordata; Actinopteri; Cypriniformes; Cyprinidae. The record is from RNAcentral.
AAACCUGCAAGUGUGUUUCAAAAUGUUUUCGUCAGGGCAAUUGUGUUACUGCCCCUUUUUUGGACAUCUGGUAGCGCUUAAAUGUGAGUAUAAAGCAGCGAUGAAGUGCACUUGGACUGCAGAAAGCAGCAGGAUGAAGAGUAAUGUGCAGCUAGGGCUGUUGUGUCUCAGCCUGCUCAUCUUCAGUCUUCAUGGAGAAGUUGUCGAGACAGAAUCGAGCCAUGAAUCCCCCCCCUAUUUCGAAGAGCCGGAUCUUCAUCAGCUUGAGAUGUACAGAGUACGACGACAGACGGUCUCCACAGAGAAAGAAAAUCCAGCAAGAACAGUAGCUGUUUUGCCACCAAGUGAGAACAGCAAGACUAAGAGAAAAAGGCCACGUCCAGGAGGUCUCACUCCUUUAGGAGCACCAACGAUAUACGUCAAUCACCGCACCAAGAGACAGGAAAAAAGCAAGAAUAACAAAAGGAAAAUACGUCCUGGAAGUCAGAGCCUUUUACGGCCCCAGCAGACUGCCAAUGUCAAGAGGGAUGACGAAUGAAAAAGUUAAAGCAUUAUAUGCGUUCAAGGCUCCUUCCCAGGUUCCCUGAAUCAGGAAAAAAGGAAUACAUCACCAUGUUUCAUAAAGAGUGUUUCAGGCUCAGGUUAUGCUUGUGAUAAUCAUUUAUAUUUCUAUAGUUUUUCUUUUCCACGUAUAUUUUGGUUAAGUAAUAAUCUCUAUGGAAAAUAAAAUGUAUUUACUGAAUUCUCCCCCGUGUGUAUUUCUUAUUCGCAUCAGUAGGGGGCCAUGUUUACCCAAGAGAUGAGCGCUCAAACCAGCUUGGCCUCUGUUAAAACGAAAUGUUUGAUAUCUGUUUAUCUUCAUCUCUUAAUUACAAUAAAGCAUUUGUCUUGAAAUGUCACUCUUUUAUUGUGUGGAAAACAAUGUAGAUGACGAAUGGCU